GGAUUGGCACAUCGGUCGUGCCUUACGGGGUAUGAACUGGUGUAGCCAAUUUCUCACCUUCUGGAGAACCGCGAUGUCCUUAAUUGGGUGCCGCGAGGAACCAGGACCUUUACUUUGAAAAAAUUAGAGUGUUUAAAGCAGGCAUUUUGCUUGAAUACAUUAGCAUGGAAUAAUAAAAUAGGACGGCAUGAUUCUAUUUUGUUGGUUUCUAGGAUCACCGUA
Molecule: ribosomal RNA, 222 nt
Filed under: uncultured Glomeromycotina
Lineage: Eukaryota; Fungi; Glomeromycota
Description: partial 18S ribosomal RNA
Rfam family: Eukaryotic small subunit ribosomal RNA (bases 96-222)
Source: RNAcentral